This 316-nucleotide unclassified non-coding RNA is filed under the name uncultured fungus. RNAcentral describes it as "partial contains 5.8S rRNA and ITS2". Lineage: Eukaryota; Fungi. The record is from RNAcentral.
AACGCAAAUUGCGCUCGAGGCUUCGGCCAAGAGCAUGUCUGCCUCAGCGUCGGGUUAAUAUCGCUAAUUACUCACAUAGUGAGUAACACAGCGGAACUGGCUGUCCCGGUAAAUCUUCUUUUUCCGGGUCAGCUGAAGUUUAGAUGUCAAACCAUGGACCCGCUAAUGGGCCUCUACUGGGUAGGCAACUCGUUGCUAAAUGCUUUAGUAGAUGGUUUAGGGACUGUGUUUGGCACAAAACAGGAUUACCCCUAACGGAGUAAAACCCCUUUAUUUUCUCGACCUGAGCUCAGGCAAGAUUACCCGCUGAACUUAA